RNAcentral lists this ribosomal RNA (487 nucleotides) under uncultured archaeon. RNAcentral's name for it is "bacterial SSU rRNA". It matches the Rfam family "Archaeal small subunit ribosomal RNA", at positions 325 to 813 of the family's 1478-position model. The record is from RNAcentral.
ACGGGGUGCAGCAGGCGCGAAACCUCCACAAUGCACGAAAGUGCGAUGGGGUUAUCCCGAGUGCUUUCCGAUGAGGAUGGCUUUUCCCUCGGUGUAAAAAGGCGAGGGAAUAAAGGGGGGGCAAGACUGGUGUCAGCCGCCGCGGUAAUACCAGCUCCCUGAGUGGUAGGGAUGAUUAUUUGGCCUAAAACGUUCGUAGCCGGCUUGGCAAGUCUUCCGUUAAAUCCAGCGACUCAAUCGUUGGUCUGCGGAAGAUACUACUAGGCUAGAGGACGGGAGAGGUUGACGGUAUUCCCAGUGUAGGGGUGAAAUCCAAUAAUCCUGGGAGGACCACCAGUGGCGAAGGCGGUCAACGAGAACGUGCCUGACGGUGAUGGACGAAAGCUGGGGGAGCGAACCGGAUUAGACACCCGGGUAGUCCCAGCCGUAAACGAUGCGGGCUAGGUGUUAGGGCAGCUACGAGCUGCUCUAGUGCCGCAGAGAAGUC